This 369-nucleotide ribosomal RNA is filed under the name Triticum aestivum (bread wheat). RNAcentral's name for it is "partial small subunit ribosomal RNA". The record is from RNAcentral. Lineage: Eukaryota; Viridiplantae; Streptophyta; Magnoliopsida; Poales; Poaceae.
AUGAGCUUUUGGGGAGCAACAGUAAUUACAAGCUUAGGUAGUGCCAUACCAGUAGUAGGAGAUACCAUAGUGACUUGGCUUUGGGGUGGUUUCUCCGUGGACAAUGCCACCUUAAAUCGUUUUUUACUCCAUCAUUUACUACCCCUUAUUUUAGUAGGCGCUAGUCUUCUUCAUCUAGCCGCAUUGCAUCAAUAUGGAUCAAAUAAUCCAUUGGGUGUACAUUCUGAGAUGGAUAAAAUUGCUUCUUACCCUUAUUUUUAUGUAAAGGAUCUUGUAGGUCAGGUAGCUUCUGCUAUCUUUUUUUCCAUUUGGAUUUUUUUGCUCCUAAUGUUUUGGGGCAUCCUGACAAUUAUAUACCUGCUAAUCUGA